GAGUUGAUUUCAAGGAAGGUGAAGGUAGGUAAGAUCUAACGGGUGAAUUCAGGUAAAUUCAGAGAGGUGAACUCAAGUAAGAUCUGACAGAGGUGAACUCAGGUGAGGUCUGACAGAGGUAAACUCAGGUGAGAUCUGAUAGAAGUGAACUCAGGUGAGAUUGACAGAAUAUAAUUUUCUGUUUUUUAAGUAUGGUAUAGAACAGUGAACUUUGAUCAAGAAAAAGUAGAUAAGUUGAUUUGUUAAAAGCAACAAAAAUUGAGAAAUUCAAAGAAAAAAUGUAAAACUGAACAUUUAAAAAUAACAAACAUUGAGAAAGAAAAAAGUGUAAAAUCUGAACAAUUGAACACUGAACAUUGAGAAAUAGAAAAGUGUUAAACUUGAACAAAAACUACGAACAAUGAGAAAUAGAAAAGUGUUAAACUUGAACAAAAACUACGAACAUUGAGAAAUAGAAAAGUGUUUAACUUGAAACAAAAACUACAAACAUUGAGAAAAAAAAGUGUUAAAAUUGAACAAAAACUAUGAACGUUGAGAAGGAAAGUGUAAAAUCUGAACAAUUAAAAUCUAUGAACUUUGAACAAGAAUCAGUGAACUACCAUACAAUUUAAAAAAAAUAUACAAGAAAAAGAGAACUUCCUGUUUAAUUAAAAAGAUUAGGCAAAAAAAAGACUCCCUGUACUAUUAAAUUGAAUAGACAAGAAAAAGAGAACUUACUGUACGAUUAAAAAGAAUUCCUCAACCGUGAAAUCAAGUCCCCAUGAUCAUUAUUUUUUUCUCUCAAAUUAUAAAAAUAAGUGAUUCUACAGUAUGUUGCACUGCAAUAGGCGAUAGCUGUAGACCUGUAGCUCUUGUUCUAUAGGUCUGCAGCUUCAGUCGAGAGAAGAGGUUCUGGUUAAUGAUGAAUGGUAAAAGGUUAGAAACUCAGCACAUACACUCAGUAGCCAGAAUGACACGUGUGACAGACACCCAGUUCAUUGAGCUCUGGGUAUUGAGUCUCUACCACAGAGCGAAUUGAAUGAGGUACAGAACAUAUGUCUGGUAAAAUUCUGGUCAGACUGAGACAUCACCUGGGCAGGUACAGACAGACAAACAGUCAUUGGUAUCGCAGUCUGUCACCUGUGUGGUUCAGGAGGCUGGGUGGUGCUGGGUUUGUGCUAUCAACUGCGAUCUGAGACCAGACCUAAAGCUAGGACGACAGAUGAAUUUUCCCAUUUAACCUUUUCAACAAAUAGCUUUGGUAGAAACAAAUUCUUGUGCAACAGAGCUCUUCAGUCCAAUAUCCACAAAACAGAAAAUGUAGUGUGAGUUUAUAUACCAACAGGAUUAGGAUGGUUCAUGUAAAAAUAAGAUUUUGAACUUUAUUACCAGUUUUGUUUGCAAGUGAGAAAUAAUAAAAUUGUAUUAUUAGCUCACCUGAGCUGAAAGCUCAAGUGAGCUUUUCUGAUCACUUGUUUUCCGUUGUCUGUCUGUAAACUUUUUAUACUUUCAACUUCUUCCAGAACCACUGGACAAUUUCAGCCAAACUUGGUACAAAAUCAUUCUUGGGUGAAGGGGAUUCAAGUUUGUUCAAAUGAAGGACCAUGCCUCCUUGAAAGGGGAGAUAAUCACAAAAAUAGGGUGGAAUCAUUUUAAAAUCUUUUUCUCAAGAACCACUGGGCCCGAAAAGCUGAAAUUUACAUGAAAGCUUCUUGACAUAGUGGAAAUUCAAGUUAGUUAAAAUCUUGACCUAGGGGUAGGUUGGGGCCACAAUAGGGGAUCAAAGUUUUACAUGCGAAAUGCGAAUAUAUAGGGAAAAUCUUUAAAAGUCUUCCUUUCAAGAACCACUAGGCCAUAAGAGUGGAGAUUUAACUGAGAGCUUCCUGGUAUAAAGUAGGUUCAAGUUUGUUCAGAUUAUGCCCCCCUCCUUUCGGCAGUAGGAUGAGGCCACAAUAGGGGAUCAAAGUACAUACAAAUUUAUAUGGAAAAUCUUUAAAAAUCUUCUUAAGAACCACUGGGCCAGAAAAGUUUACAUGUACAUAAAAGCUUCCUGACGUAAGUGCAGAUUCAAGUUUAAUAACAACACAGCCCCCCCGGGGUAAGUUGGGACCACAAUAGGGAUAAAAGUUUUACAUACAAAUGUAUAUGAAAAAUCUUUCAAAAUCUUUUCAAGAACCACGGGGCCAGAAAAGUUUACAUUUACAUAAAAGCAUCCUGACAUAGUGCAGAUUCAAGUUUGUCAGCAUCACGGCUCCCAGGGGUAAGUUGGGGCCACAAUAGGGAUCAAAGUUUUACAUGCGAAUAUGUAGGGAAAAUCUUUAAAUAUGGGCCAAGGUGACUCAGGUGAGCAACGUGGCCCAUGGGCCUCUUGUUUAUGCAUAUAUUUUGAGAAAUGCUUCUUCUCUUAAAAAUUGUUGGCUCUCACAAGUUUUACUUCUCAUGUAUAAGGUUCACAUAAGCUCUAAUGCAAAUAAAGUAUAGUCACUGAAAUAAAAGUAGGCACUAUUAACAAAGUAGUCACUGAAAUAAAAGUAGGCACUAUUAACAAAGUAGUCACUGAAAUAAAAGUAGGCACUAUUAACAAAGUAGUCACUGAAAUAAAAGUUGGCACUAUUAACAAAGUAGUCACUGAAAUAAAAGUUGGCACUAUUAACAAAGUAGUCGCUGAAAUAAAAGUAGGCACUAUUAACAGUAGUCGCUGAAAUAAAAGUAGGCACUAUUAACAAAGUAGUCACUGAAAUAAAAGUAGGCACUAUUAACAAAGUAGUCGCUGAAAUAAAAGUAGGCACUAUUAACAAAGUAGUCGCUGAAAUAAAAGUAGGCACUGUUAACAAAGUAGUCGCUGAAAUAAAAGUAGGCACUGUUAACAAAGUAGUCACUGAAAUAAAAGUAGGCACUAUUAACAAAGUAGUCGCUGAAAUAAAAGUAGGCACUAUUAACAAAGUAGUCGUUGAAAUAAAAGUAGGCACUAUUAACAAAGUAGUCACUGAAAUAAAAGUAGGCACUAUUAACAGUAGUCACUGAAAUAAAAGUAGGCACUGUUAACAAAGUAGUCACUGAAAUAAAAGUUGUACAACACCAGAAUAACAGUAGACUUUGUACUUCAUGUAUUCCAUUACAUUUUGUUGCAGUCUGAUUACAUGCUCUCUAUAAGUUUGUCCCAGUAAUCUGACAAGAUUUUUUUUAUUUGAUUACCUCGAGGAUUUGUGGCUAUCAGAGUUUGAGUAAAAUCUUAGGAAAUGUCAUUCCUAAUGGUCUGUUUACCUU
Molecule: long non-coding RNA, 3246 nt
Organism: Ostrea edulis (European flat oyster)
Lineage: Eukaryota; Metazoa; Mollusca; Bivalvia; Ostreida; Ostreidae
Exons: 2
Source: RefSeq, a predicted model, not a curated record